Molecule: ribosomal RNA, 525 nt
Filed under: Triticum aestivum (bread wheat)
Lineage: Eukaryota; Viridiplantae; Streptophyta; Magnoliopsida; Poales; Poaceae
Description: partial small subunit ribosomal RNA
Source: RNAcentral
AUGGCAACGCGGAUCCCGAUGAGGUUGGAGAGGCGGCAGCAACGAGCUUCAGGACGGAGCUCCAGGCGGCGGCUUGGUGCUCGUCUGGCAGCGAGGCGGCACAGGAGGACGGACUUGGCGCCGGGGAUGACGUGGCUGCAGCCAGAUCCAUCCGCGAAUGGGAAGGGACGGCGAAGGCCGGCCGGACCUGGUCGUUGGGCGGCGGAGGUCGGGGCCAUCCAUGUCGAGGUAGGGCGCAGCGGCGAGGUGAAGCAGCAGCAUGCGGGGCGAGGGAAGGUCCCUGGUGACGGGGCACCGACGAGCGGAGGCGGGCGGCGAAGGUGCUGCAGGGAGCAGGGGAGAGGAGACGCUGCGAGGGGAGGUUCGGGCAUGAGGUGCGGCGUGAGGGAGAUGGGCAAGGAUCGAGCGAGUCUAACCCUGGUGGCGCGUGGUGGGGAACGAGGGGAUCGGGACGAGAGGCUGCUAGCGGCUAGGGUUAAGGAGAUGGUGGGGCGCCUGGGCCUAGCAGGCCUGCUUGUGGCCUAA